This 458-nucleotide ribosomal RNA is filed under the name uncultured bacterium. RNAcentral's name for it is "partial 16S ribosomal RNA". It matches the Rfam family "Bacterial small subunit ribosomal RNA", at positions 338 to 795 of the family's 1533-position model. The record is from RNAcentral.
CCUACGGGAGGCAGCAGUGAGGAAUAUUGGUCAAUGGGCGAGAGCCUGAACCAGCCAAGUCGCGUGAGGGAGUACUGCCCUAUGGGUUGUAAACCUCUUUUGUCGGGGAGCAAAAGCCGGACGUGGCCGGCUGUGAGAGUUCCCGAAGAAAAAGCAUCGGCUAACUCCGUGCCAGCAGCCGCGGUAAUACGGAGGAUGCGGGGGUUAUCCGGAUUUAUUGGGUUUAAAGGGGGCGCAGGCGGAUUUUUAAGUCAGCGGUCAAAUCGUGGGGCUCAACCCCAUCCAGCCGUUGAAACUGGGGAUCUAGAGUGUGCGAGAGGUAUGCGGAAUGCGUGGUGUAGCGGUGAAAUGCAUAGAUAUCACGAAGAACUCCGAUUGCGAAGGCAGCUUACUAAACUGCCACUGACAUUGAUGCUCGAAAGUGUGGGUAUCAAACAGGAUUAGAUACCCGUGUAGUC